Molecule: small nucleolar RNA, 135 nt
Organism: Molossus molossus (Pallas's mastiff bat)
Lineage: Eukaryota; Metazoa; Chordata; Mammalia; Chiroptera; Molossidae
Source: RefSeq, a predicted model, not a curated record
CAUGGCCCUAAUGGAAGCUGCAGCUGCUCGCAUCACAGCUGCUGCGGUCAAAGAGGAGUCCAGAGGGACAGUUUUCCUGAUGGUCACUGUUCUGUUUGCUGUAACUGAUAUGCAGCAUUUUGGGAACAGACAGUU